AUUGAACGCUGGCGGCAUGCUUUACACAUGCAAGUCGGACGGCAGCACAGAGAAGCUUGCUUCUUGGGUGGCGAGUGGCGAACGGGUGAGUAACAUAUCGGAACGUACCGAGCAGUGGGGGAUAACUAAUCGAAAGAUUAGCUAAUACCGCAUAUCUUCUGAGGAAGAAAGCAGGGGACCAUUUGGCCUUGCGCUGUUUGAGCGGCCGAUAUCUGAUUAGCUAGUUGGUGGGGUAAAGGCCUACCAAGGCGACGAUCAGUAGCGGGUCUGAGAGGAUGAUCCGCCACACUGGGACUGAGACACGGCCCAGACUCCUACGGGAGGCAGCAGUGGGGAAUGUUGGACAAUGGGCGCAAGCCUGAUCCAGCCAUGCCGCGUGUCUGAAGAAGGCCUUCGGGUUGUAAAGGACUUUUGUCAGGGAAGAAAAGGGCGGGGUUAAUACCCCUGUCUGAUGACGGUACCUGAAGAAUAAGCACCGGCUAACUACGUG
RNAcentral lists this ribosomal RNA (490 nucleotides) under uncultured bacterium. RNAcentral's name for it is "partial 16S ribosomal RNA". It matches the Rfam family "Bacterial small subunit ribosomal RNA", at positions 30 to 507 of the family's 1533-position model. The record is from RNAcentral.